GAUGAACGCUGGCGGCGUGCCUAAUACAUGCAAGUCGAGCGAACGGACGAGAAGCUUGCUUCUCUGAUGUUAGCGGCGGACGGGUGAGUAACACGUGGAUAACCUACCUAUAAGACUGGGAUAACUUCGGGAAACCGGAGCUAAUACCGGAUAAUAUUUUGAACCGCAUGGUUCAAAAGUGAAAGACGGUCUUGCUGUCACUUAUAGAUGGAUCCGCGCUGCAUUAGCUAGUUGGUAAGGUAACGGCUUACCAAGGCAACGAUGCAUAGCCGACCCGAGAGGGUGAUCGGACACACUGGAACUGAGACACGGUCCAGACUCCUACGGGAGGCAGCAGUAGGGAAUCUUCCGCAAUGGGCGAAAGCCUGACGGAGCAACGCCGCGUGAGUGAUGAAGGUCUUCGGAUCGUAAAACUCUGUUAUUAGGGAAGAACAUAUGUGUAAGUAACUGUGCACAUCUUGACGGUACCUAAUCAGAAAGCCACGGCUAACUACGUG
RNAcentral lists this ribosomal RNA (497 nucleotides) under uncultured bacterium. RNAcentral describes it as "partial 16S ribosomal RNA". It matches the Rfam family "Bacterial small subunit ribosomal RNA", at positions 28 to 507 of the family's 1533-position model. The record is from RNAcentral.